RNAcentral lists this long non-coding RNA (495 nucleotides) under Notechis scutatus (mainland tiger snake). RNAcentral's name for it is "lncRNA (ENSNSUG00000005836.1)". Lineage: Eukaryota; Metazoa; Chordata; Lepidosauria; Squamata; Elapidae. The record is from RNAcentral.
ACUUUUAAAGACUCCGGAUGCUUUUGGUUUCCCGUCUUGGUUCGGGGGCCCCCGCCCACCAGCCCACCCCACCGCACCCGCGCUCUCGGGGGAUUUAGUGGGUUCCCAUUUGCUUUGAACCAAACCAGACAGUUGGCAGCUCAAACAUUAAAUUCAAGCACCCACGUGCUUCACCUUUCCUGCUGUAAUCUUUUGCCCGGUUGAAGUCCAAAAUCCUCUGAAAUCAGCUGCAUGGAUAAGGCAGAAAAUGGAUAUACAUUUGGUUUCUUCCGUAGGCACAAACAUUGUUUCAGGUACUUUUACAUUUAAAAGUAUUAAAUUGCACUGAAGUAUUUAAUUCUAUAUGUGUUAGCAUUAGAUGCACAUUUCUGUGUUUUGCUAUGCUUUAGUAAAUGAUAUGGAAUGGGCCAGUGUGGAGCACAUUUAACAAAUCAAGAUUUUUCUACAGUAUGGAAAAAAAAAAUCUCCCUGCACCCCAGUAGUAUUUGUUACCCC